Molecule: ribosomal RNA, 396 nt
Filed under: uncultured bacterium
Lineage: Bacteria
Description: partial 16S ribosomal RNA
Rfam family: Bacterial small subunit ribosomal RNA
Source: RNAcentral
AUACAGAGGGUGCAAGCGUUAAUCGGAUUUACUGGGCGUAAAGCGCGCGUAGGUGGCUAAUUAAGUCAAAUGUGAAAUCCCCGAGCUUAACUUGGGAAUUGCAUUCGAUACUGGUUAGCUAGAGUAUGGGAGAGGAUGGUAGAAUUCCAGGUGUAGCGGUGAAAUGCGUAGAGAUCUGGAGGAAUACCGAUGGCGAAGGCAGCCAUCUGGCCUAAUACUGACACUGAGGUGCGAAAGCAGGGGGAGCAAACAGGAUUAUAUACCCUGGUAGUCCAUGUCGUAAACGAUGUCUACUAGCCGUUGGGGCCCUUGAGGCUUUAGUGGCGCAGCUAACGCGAUAAGUAGACCGCCUGGGGAGUACGGUCGCAAGACUAAAACUCAAAUGAAUUGACGGGG